GGGUAGACAUGCAUAUAAAAAUGAUAAGUUGUCUUUUACAGAUCACUGCUGAAGUUCCUUGAUACUCGACUUACAGCCACACCGUGCUGGCUAGAACCCACCUUAGUGAAGUUGAUGUGGUUGGUUAUUUUUUCUCACUGGUCUGCCUUUUUCAUUCUUAUUCUGUUUUGAAACUCAUUAUAGUUAAACUGGGAUGAUAGCGUAGCUGUUGGGGACGGUCCGUAUUUCCAGGUGUUGAUUUUAGAAAGCUUUCAUUUUUUAAGAUGAUGGUGUUGCAAAAUAUUCUUGAAGUUUCUUUUUUUUUCAUUGUAGGGCCGGGGAAAUAAAAAUAGUGGAGAUAAUUUCCAUGUUGCCCCAAAUAAUGAUCAUUCACAAGAGUUCAUCAGAGAAGAUAUUUGGAAACAGACUAGGUAUGAUGGAUGGAGGUUAGAUUGUGUACACGGAUCGUGGAAUAUGUUUUAUGAACCCGUCUGCAAUUUCGCGGGCUGAUCAACGCAAACCCAAACACAUCGAGGAUGCAAGUAGAGCGGUUGCAGAUCGAUUGUAUAAAAGAAAGGGCAAUGACAUCAUCCUAUUGCCCUACAAAUCUACAAUCCUUGGUUUGAUUUUCCUUUUAAAUAAAUAUUCGUAAAGACCUAUUAUCUUAAUUUAUUUUGAUUGAAUUUUGGAUUUUGAAGAAACCAUUGGGUGUUGGAAGUACUAAACCUGAAAACAACUACCUGCUAUUAUCUUGAUUCCUUACGGCCUAGAAGUGUCGAUGAGCAGUUGAGGCAAAUUAUUGAUACGGCAAUGGCCGUCUAUGCUUUAGAAAGUGGUAUCAACAUAAGGGUUAAACUCGUAUGGAUUAACACUAGGUGUCCACGUCAGCUAGGAGGUACUGAAUGCGGCUACUAUGUGAUGAAGUUAAUGAAGGAGAUAGCUUACGAAGGAGUUGAAAUACUUGACAAUGAUAAUAUAAGUUUAGGCAUAUUUUAGUCUGUAUAUUAGAGAAAUAUGUACUUAUAUAUCCAAACAAAUGCUUAAAUUCAUAUAUUAUGAUUAAAAUCUGAUUUUUAAGAUUUAUUUUAUUUAAUUGUUGUCUCAGGUUGGGAAAGGAGUAGAGGAAUACUCGGCUGCGGAUAUGGAUGACAUUCGUGUAGAUUGGUCGACUUAUGCGGUUAACUCUAUUUUUAAGUUAUAAAUCGUAUUUUAGGUGUUGAUAAUGUAUUGAUAAACAAUUCUUUUUUUGUUAACCUUAAAAUAUUUGUAGUAUACUUGACAAAUGAUUAUGUAAAGGAU
Molecule: long non-coding RNA, 1278 nt
Organism: Helianthus annuus (common sunflower)
Lineage: Eukaryota; Viridiplantae; Streptophyta; Magnoliopsida; Asterales; Asteraceae
Exons: 4
Source: RefSeq, a predicted model, not a curated record